This 898-nucleotide ribosomal RNA is filed under the name Limosilactobacillus fermentum. RNAcentral describes it as "bacterial SSU rRNA". It matches the Rfam family "Bacterial small subunit ribosomal RNA", at positions 22 to 876 of the family's 1533-position model. Lineage: Bacteria; Bacillati; Bacillota; Bacilli; Lactobacillales; Lactobacillaceae. The record is from RNAcentral.
GCUCAGGAUGAACGCCGGCGGUGUGCCUAAUACAUGCAAGUCGAACGCGUUGGCCCAAUUGAUUGAUGGUGCUUGCACCUGAUUGAUUUUGGUCGCCAACGAGUGGCGGACGGGUGAGUAACACGUAGGUAACCUGCCCAGAAGCGGGGGACAACAUUUGGAAACAGAUGCUAAUACCGCAUAACAACGUUGUUCGCAUGAACAACGCUUAAAAGAUGGCUUCUCGCUAUCACUUCUGGAUGGACCUGCGGUGCAUUAGCUUGUUGGUGGGGUAACGGCCUACCAAGGCGAUGAUGCAUAGCCGAGUUGAGAGACUGAUCGGCCACAAUGGGACUGAGACACGGCCCAUACUCCUACGGGAGGCAGCAGUAGGGAAUCUUCCACAAUGGGCGCAAGCCUGAUGGAGCAACACCGCGUGAGUGAAGAAGGGUUUCGGCUCGUAAAGCUCUGUUGUUAAAGAAGAACACGUAUGAGAGUAACUGUUCAUACGUUGACGGUAUUUAACCAGAAAGUCACGGCUAACUACGUGCCAGCAGCCGCGGUAAUACGUAGGUGGCAAGCGUUAUCCGGAUUUAUUGGGCGUAAAGAGAGUGCAGGCGGUUUUCUAAGUCUGAUGUGAAAGCCUUCGGCUUAACCGGAGAAGUGCAUCGGAAACUGGAUAACUUGAGUGCAGAAGAGGGUAGUGGAACUCCAUGUGUAGCGGUGGAAUGCGUAGAUAUAUGGAAGAACACCAGUGGCGAAGGCGGCUACCUGGUCUGCAACUGACGCUGAGACUCGAAAGCAUGGGUAGCGAACAGGAUUAGAUACCCUGGUAGUCCAUGCCGUAAACGAUGAGUGCUAGGUGUUGGAGGGUUUCCGCCCUUCAGUGCCGGAGCUAACGCAUAAGCACUCCGUCCGG